RNAcentral lists this ribosomal RNA (149 nucleotides) under Klebsiella pneumoniae. Its description in RNAcentral is "partial 23S ribosomal RNA". It matches the Rfam family "Bacterial large subunit ribosomal RNA", at positions 2782 to 2925 of the family's 2925-position model. Lineage: Bacteria; Pseudomonadati; Pseudomonadota; Gammaproteobacteria; Enterobacterales; Enterobacteriaceae. The record is from RNAcentral.
UAAGCACGAAACUUGCCCCGAGAUGAGUUCUCCCUGAGACUUUAAGUCUCCUGAAGGAACGUUAAAGACGAUGACGUUGAUAGGCCGGGUGUGUAAGCGCAGCGAUGCGUUGAGCUAACCGGUACUAAUGAACCGUGAGGCUUAACCUU